This 230-nucleotide long non-coding RNA is filed under the name Capsella rubella. RNAcentral's name for it is "long non-coding RNA (CRUB_LNC003784)". The record is from RNAcentral. Lineage: Eukaryota; Viridiplantae; Streptophyta; Magnoliopsida; Brassicales; Brassicaceae.
GAAAAUUGACUAUGUGAAAAGUAGUGAAGAUGUGGAACCGGUUCGCCGCUCGGUUUGACCAAGGAUACCAAACCGCAAGUAUCUCGAUUGAAGUCAACAUUUGGAGACUUUGGUUUUAUAUCUUUGUUUUUGUUUGUUUUUUUUUUGCAAAUAUGUUGAAGUGGUCUUCCACAUUAAAACGAGCCAUUCAACCACUUUCGCUAUUCCCUAAGUCGUAGGUAUCGUUAUUC